This 326-nucleotide long non-coding RNA is filed under the name Androctonus crassicauda. The record is from RNAcentral. Lineage: Eukaryota; Metazoa; Arthropoda; Arachnida; Scorpiones; Buthidae.
UUUUAAAGUCAUCUGGAUGCUAGAUGGAAUUCGAAAUUCUGGUAAAUCGAAAUUGAACCGGCACUUGUAUAUGUAUCUUAGAGGACUUUUUCCUUAUUCGAAUCCUAUUUUUCUAACUUUGCAUUAUAUUGAACCAGGUAGCGAUAGGAAUUCAAUGACUACCAUAAAGAUCAACGCAGUAGAUCUUCUUUAUAUCAUGAAUCAAAUUUUUCAUAAAUAACAUGCUAAUGUAAAUUAUUAUAAAUUUUUAAAAUAAAUGUAAAUAGUAUUAAAAAUUUUUAAAAUGGCGAAAAUAAGAAGUAAAAAAUUGAUUGAUUUAAAAAAUC